UUUAUUUUGCAAUCACCAGGUUGAAUGAAGGCGAUCAAAUCCGAAUUUAAGCUGUCGGUCGUUACGCUGUGCACUGUGAUCGCAGCUUCUAUGAGUAGAGGAAGAAGCAACAAGCCAACGAAAUGAGGAAGAGUUGAAGAAGAAGAAAUCUCCAUCCACCCGAUCUCCGUCUACUCAAACACACACACCUGGUCAAAGAGAGCAUGUUUCCAACCCUUCCUCCUCUGUCUCCUCUUCAUCGCCAUCAACUUUACUUAUCGACACAUCACAGCAAACUACUGGAAGUCGUACUGUUAUGAAUCUGUUAUCUGUAAAGAAAUUGCAAUAGAUGAUUGUAAAAAUAAAAAGUGUGGUUUUGUGCAUCGUGUGUAAAAAAAACGAACCCAAAAAAACCAAACGUGUGUUUCCAGCUGUAGUGUUUGUUGUAUUUGUUGCAUAGUUAUUGUUGGUGUUUCCUCACAAACACAAGCGGAGCGAACACAUCUGGAUAUAUAAAUACGAGUUGAGAGGCUUUUAGUAAAUGUGCAGUGGUUGUAAAUGUAGACCUUUAAAUAUGCAGUGUUCAUGUUCUGUAUAUAGUAUAUAUAGACUAAAUGCAGUAUCAGAAUACGUUUAAAGGAUGGAGUUUAUUUCCUAUCAGUAUGGGGACUCUUCUUCCCCGUGUCUCAUGAGAUGUUUCUGUGACAGUGAGUUUCGGAGUGUGUGUAGUAUUCAGUACAGUUCAGUCGAGAUGUCGUAGCGACAGUGUUAACGAUUUAAAAAAUAUAUAAAUUUGGCACUUCGAAACAUCGACUCAAAUAAACUUUUAGACGUCUUGUCUUGGAAACUCGA
Long non-coding RNA from Notothenia coriiceps (black rockcod), 831 nucleotides. RefSeq lists it as uncharacterized. NCBI's taxonomy places the organism in Eukaryota, Metazoa, Chordata, Actinopteri, Perciformes, Nototheniidae. The record is from RefSeq and is a predicted model, not a curated record. The transcript is spliced from 2 exons.